This is a non-coding RNA of Cordylochernes scorpioides, 72 nucleotides long. The record is from the annotation of a GenBank genome assembly. NCBI's taxonomy places the organism in Eukaryota, Metazoa, Arthropoda, Arachnida, Pseudoscorpiones, Chernetidae.
GUUUGUACGUCCUGCGGCAGGUGCCUGGGACUGAUGUUGGAAGUCAGGUACCUGAAGUAGUGCGCAACAAAC